GGACCCGUGGCCCAAUUGGCAAGGCGUUUGACUACGAUUUAAACAUACCUUGAUCAUCAAAAGAUUGUGGGUUCGAAUCCCACCGGGUUCA
Transfer RNA from Blastomyces gilchristii SLH14081, 91 nucleotides. It matches the Rfam family "tRNA". From Rfam's summary of the family: Transfer RNA (tRNA) molecules are approximately 80 nucleotides in length. NCBI's taxonomy places the organism in Eukaryota, Fungi, Ascomycota, Eurotiomycetes, Onygenales, Ajellomycetaceae. The record is from Rfam.